AGAGUUUGAUCCUGGCUCAGGAUGAACGCUAGCGGCAGGCUUAAUACAUGCAAGUCGAGGGGCAGCAUGAGUGUAGCAAUACAUUUGAUGGCGACCGGCAAACGGGUGCGGAACACGUACAGAACCUUCCUUCGAGCGGGGAAUAGCCCAGAGAAAUUUGGAUUAAUACCCCAUAGUAUAACAGAGUGGCAUCACUUUGUUAUUAAAGAUUUAUCACUUGAAGAUGGCUGUGCGGCUGAUUAGAUAGUUGGCGGGGUAACGGCCCACCAAGUCUGCGAUCAGUAACUGGUGUGAGAGCACGACCAGUCACACGGGCACUGAGACACGGGCCCGACUCCUACGGGAGGCAGCAGUAAGGAAUAUUGGUCAAUGGACGAAAGUCUGAACCAGCCAUGCCGCGUGGAGGAUGAAGGCCCUCUGGGUUGUAAACUUCUUUUAUAUGGGACGAAAAAGGACCUUUCUAGGUCAACUGACGGUACCAUGUGAAUAAGCACCGGCUAACUCCGUGCCAGCAGCCGCGGUAAUACGGAGGGUGCAAGCGUUAUCCGGAUUCACUGGGUUUAAAGGGUGCGUAGGUGGGUUGGUAAGUCAGUGGUGAAAUCCCCGAGCUUAACUAGGGAACUGCC
This 626-nucleotide ribosomal RNA is filed under the name uncultured bacterium. RNAcentral's name for it is "bacterial SSU rRNA". It matches the Rfam family "Bacterial small subunit ribosomal RNA", at positions 8 to 625 of the family's 1533-position model. The record is from RNAcentral.